Molecule: ribosomal RNA, 1549 nt
Filed under: Bacillus subtilis
Lineage: Bacteria; Bacillati; Bacillota; Bacilli; Caryophanales; Bacillaceae
Description: bacterial SSU rRNA
Rfam family: Bacterial small subunit ribosomal RNA
Source: RNAcentral
UUAUCGGAGAGUUUGAUCCUGGCUCAGGACGAACGCUGGCGGCGUGCCUAAUACAUGCAAGUCGAGCGGACAGAUGGGAGCUUGCUCCCUGAUGUUAGCGGCGGACGGGUGAGUAACACGUGGGUAACCUGCCUGUAAGACUGGGAUAACUCCGGGAAACCGGGGCUAAUACCGGAUGGUUGUUUGAACCGCAUGGUUCAAACAUAAAAGGUGGCUUCGGCUACCACUUACAGAUGGACCCGCGGCGCAUUAGCUAGUUGGUGAGGUAAUGGCUCACCAAGGCAACGAUGCGUAGCCGACCUGAGAGGGUGAUCUACCACACUGGGACUGAGACACGUACCAGACUCCUACGGGAGGCAGCAGUAGGGAAUCUUCCGCAAUGGACGAAAGUCUGACGGAGCAACGCCGCGUGAGUGAUGAAGGUUUUCGGAUCGUAAAGCUCUGUUGUUAGGGAAGAACAAGUACCGUUCGAAUAGGGCGGUACCUUGACGGUACCUAACCAGAAAGCCACGGCUAACUACGUGCCAGCAGCCGCGGUAAUACGUAGGUGGCAAGCGUUGUCCGGAAUUAUUGGGCGUAAAGGGCUCGCAGGCGGUUUCUUAAGUCUGAUGUGAAAGCCCCCGGCUCAACCGGGGAGGGUCAUUGGAAACUGGGGAACUUGAGUGCAGAAGAGGAGAGUGGAAUUCCACGUGUAGCGGUGAAAUGCGUAGAGAUGUGGAGGAACACCAGUGGCGAAGGCGACUCUCUGGUCUGUAACUGACGCUGAGGAGCGAAAGCGUGGGGAGCGAACAGGAUUAGAUACCCUGGUAGUCCACGCCGUAAACGAUGAGUGCUAAGUGUUAGGGGGUUUCCGCCCCUUAGUGCUGCAGCUAACGCAUUAAGCACUCCGCCUGGGGAGUACGGUCGCAAGACUGAAACUCAAAGGAAUUGACGGGGCCCGCACAAGCGGUGGAGCAUGUGGUUUAAUUCGAAGCAACGCGAAGAACCUUACCAGGUCUUGACAUCCUCUGACAAUCCUAGAGAUAGGACGUCCCCUUCGGGGGCAGAGUGACAGGUGGUGCAUGGUUGUCGUCAGCUCGUGUCGUGAGAUGUUGGGUUAAGUCCCGCAACGAGCGCAACCCUUGAUCUUAGUUGCCAGCAUUCAGUUGGGCACUCUAAGGUGACUGCCGGUGACAAACCGGAGGAAGGUGGGGAUGACGUCAAAUCAUCAUGCCCCUUAUGACCUGGGCUACACACGUGCUACAAUGGACAGAACAAAGGGCAGCGAAACCGCGAGGUUAAGCCAAUCCCACAAAUCUGUUCUCAGUUCGGAUCGCAGUCUGCAACUCGACUGCGUGAAGCUGGAAUCGCUAGUAAUCGCGGAUCAGCAUGCCGCGGUGAAUACGUUCCCGAGCCUUGUACACACCGCCCGUCACACCACGAGAGUUUGUAACACCCGAAGUCGGUGAGGUAACCUUUUAGGAGCCAGCCGCCGAAGGUGGGACAGAUGAUUGGGGUGAAGUCGUAACAAGGUAGCCGUAUCGGAAGGUGCGGCUGGAUCACCUCCUUU